RNAcentral lists this ribosomal RNA (253 nucleotides) under uncultured bacterium. RNAcentral describes it as "partial 16S ribosomal RNA". It matches the Rfam family "Bacterial small subunit ribosomal RNA", at positions 524 to 776 of the family's 1533-position model. The record is from RNAcentral.
UACGGAGGGUGCAAGCGUUAUCCGGAUUCACUGGGUUUAAAGGGUGCGUAGGUGGGCUGGUAAGUCAGUGGUGAAAUCUCCAGGCUUAACUUGGAAACUGCCAUUGAUACUAUCAGUCUUGAAUACCGUGGAGGUCAGCGGAAUAUGUCAUGUAGCGGUGAAAUGCUUAGAUAUGACAUAGAACACCAAUUGCGAAGGCAGCUGGUUACACGAAUAUUGACACUGAUGCACGAAAGCGUGGGGAUCAAACAGG